This is a long non-coding RNA of Notolabrus celidotus (New Zealand spotty), 228 nucleotides long. RefSeq lists it as uncharacterized. The transcript has 2 exons. NCBI's taxonomy places the organism in Eukaryota, Metazoa, Chordata, Actinopteri, Labriformes, Labridae. The record is from RefSeq and is a predicted model, not a curated record.
CCAUUAUGAAAAGGAAGAGGAAGAGGAGAGCAUCACAGGUUAGAGUACAUGAGUUUUGGGUCUCUGGAGGAGGUGAAAGAGCACAGCUUUACAAUGAGAGUCGUACCUGAAGAGCUCUUACCCCCAUCAGGAAGGAAGGAGGUGCAAAACACAAACAGAAGAUUUUUACAGACUCACAGAGACACUGGCCCUUCAGUUUAGAGGAAUUAAAAGACAAAAUGUUCAGCU